This is a long non-coding RNA of Micropterus dolomieu (smallmouth bass), 2017 nucleotides long. RefSeq lists it as uncharacterized. Lineage: Eukaryota; Metazoa; Chordata; Actinopteri; Centrarchiformes; Centrarchidae. The record is from RefSeq and is a predicted model, not a curated record. The transcript has 2 exons.
CCACUUUCCCCUUCAUGGCUAAAGUGAAAGGAGUUUCUGUACUAGAGGGGCGUCUCUGGGGACUUCUAUCUAAGGGCGUACUCACACUAUGCCAUCUGUACCGUGCCCGAGCACGUUUAACCCCCAAUGCCAGGUUUGUUUGGCCAGUGCGAUCGCUCGUACUAACCUCGACAACCCAGCUGUGCGUUAACAUUGCUAUCCUUAUUAGUUAGGCUCUUUACAUGCUUGCUAAUAACUUUUUUUAAGGUAGAGCUGCACAUUGACAGCUUUAUGUUAUGUGCAGCUGUGUUCACGAGAGAGAGAGGGAGCGAUCGAGGUGCUGAGCGAAUAUGUGCUCUGCAAUCAAAUACGAUUGUAAAUAGGCCCAGUAAAAAAGCGCUGGUACUCUGGCAAAUCGCCACAAAUAAUCAAUGUGUGGGAAACACUGGUGUGAUGACGUAAAUGUGCUCCGGCUUGGAUCGUUUAGUUGCAGUGUGAGCGCAGGCCAACGGGGGAGUGGGGAGGGGGGACAAUCGUGCUCGGGCACGGUACAAGGCAAACGGGCCUAGUGUGAGUACGACCCAAGAGGAAUAUAUAUUGGACUAAUUUGUAGAUACCAAUCGUUUCCCUUCAAUAUAAAAGGAAUGUGGAGUUAAUUGGCCACUUCCAAAAUGGAGACUAUAUCCAGCCUGCAGAGCUUCGCCAACCUCCUUUUCUUUCAGCCUUUCUGUCGUACAACAGAGGUACUCCAUAAGUAGGCCACGACAUGUUGUGUUCACAUUUCUGUGUGCGUGUCAUCCAUUGUGAGUGUAUGAGAUAAUACAACAUAGCGUCAGGGUAUCGGCGAAGUAGGCUAAAGCUUACACCUGGUAAAAUGAGAACCAUUUGUGGGAAACCUUUGUUAUUAAGGCCUGUUCCCGGAGGACCAGCAAAUCCAUGCGUGUCCAUACAAACAAGUUGAAUUUCAGAACCCAAUAAAUAGUCUUAAGACAUUUUAUGGCCUCUUCCAAGGGCUUCACCUUGUAAUAUGACAAGUCUUAGCUUGUGUGUAAAAUCAAUUAAAAGGAGAAGUGCAGCAUUUCCAGGUGAGAGUGGAAUGAUUGACUGGAAAAAGUCGUGACUGCUCUGUACAACCAGCCUGCUAAAGUACAAAAAUGGAAAAUGUAUUCAAGCACUUAUUGUUGCAUAAUCUUUUAUAACAAGUAUGGCCUUCAUCAGGUAAUCCCUGACAAAUGAAGUGAGAGAAAUGUACCUCCAUACUGAAGAAUUGAGAGCUUAAGUCCAGUGUAAGGAUUGAUUCUUUUUACAGGUUCUGUAUCUGGAAAGGGACUCAUGAGUUUCAUGAGUGACCCCCCCAAAGCUACCAGACAGUUUUAGUAGGGUGGUCAAUUUAACAACAACUCGGUCUCCCUGCCAGGAUUACAACCACUGAGAUGUCACUCAGUAAGGCCUAUUUAACCCCCAACUUUCCAGUAAGUCUGCCCAACAUCACUCAUUUGGGAACUGGGAUAGUUCCACGGAGAUAAUGUGGAGCAGAAAUAGCAAAAACAAAAAUUUGAGGAACUCAUGGUGAAGUAUAUCCUUUUGCAUAGGAAGCAAUCAACAAUCACACCUGUGAAAUAAUGGUCUUGGGAAAGCAGCAGAAAGAAGUGACAGCCUCCUGACGCGUUGUUGUUUGUGUCAAUGUGCCAGUCUAGAAAACCACAGAGGGGGAAGUGAGGCGUGGGCAGAUGCGCCUGUGGCGCUCAGGCCUCCAUCCCUCUGCCAGGCCUCCCUUCCCCCUACUCCUUCAUUUUCCCCUCUUUGUUAGUCCCUCUUUCUUAAAGUCUUCUUCUGUUGAAACGCACCAACGCAAACAUGGUUGUUUCCUUUUAGUGCUAUGUGUUUAAGCCUUAAAUUAUUGAAUGCUUUGCAGUCCUGUGGCCGACAGCAGAAGACUUUGGUUGCACCAGGCAGCUCUCAGGUGUGACUGUGUAAUUGUAUACUAAGUAAAGUCCUUAAUUAAUAAAUGCAUAUCAUGCAGCCCUGUUAAAACAAA